GGGCCAAGCAGAAAAGCCCUGCCCUCAAGGCCUGGCUGUCAGGUAAAGAUGACUGUGGUGAUUCAGUCCCACCCCCUGCCUCAUCUUCUGCAUCCCUAUCUUCCUUCUGGCCCAUCUCCCUUCCUAGGGAAAGCCCCUUCUCCCAGCUCAGGGUAUUUCAAGGAUUAAAUGAGAUGAUGUGUGAAGAGCCUGGCAUAGAAUAAUAGCCUUGUUACAAACCCCAAGGCCAGACCCAGAAGGGAGUAUGACUGGGAUCAUGAAAGCAUAGACUUUGGAACACCAGGUCGGCGCCAGGCAUGAAUGCUGCCUAUGCACUUGCUGGUUGUUCUUGAGACUUGCCCCAAAAGGAAAUAGCCUGGGAUAAAAACAAGGAAAUCUGGAUUAUGUCAAUGUAAUCCAUGACAUUUAGGAGUACGUGAUUGAAACAGAAUAUGUCUUGAGAAAGAUAAGACCAAAAAAAUUCUUGUAGUCUGCACCUAGGAAUAAAAUCUGGACUCAGAGUGGACUCUGCAUCUCAGUCCAGUAGAGGCUGCAGGUCUCCUGACCCAUUGCACCA
This is a non-coding RNA of Odocoileus virginianus texanus, 556 nucleotides long. Lineage: Eukaryota; Metazoa; Chordata; Mammalia; Artiodactyla; Cervidae. The record is from RefSeq and is a predicted model, not a curated record.